RNAcentral lists this long non-coding RNA (2018 nucleotides) under Macaca mulatta (Rhesus monkey). RNAcentral's name for it is "lncRNA (ENSMMUG00000065339.1)". Lineage: Eukaryota; Metazoa; Chordata; Mammalia; Primates; Cercopithecidae. The record is from RNAcentral.
UGCAACGAAGAAUCAGAAUGGCCACAUGAAGUAAUCCUAAGUGACACUAGCCUGAUAUAGAUCCCUUUCAAUGCAGUUCCUGCCUUCCAGGUGAGACACAGUCCUCAACUCUGCAGAUACCUACAGACAGUAUCCCCUUUGCCAUGUUUGACCUUCCCUGUUUCCAACCCUAACAUGAUGGUUUGUGUUUGUCUUUUGUGUAAGAAGGUAGUUGGUGUUUUUUUGUUUAUAAGAAUUAUUUCGGAAUUCCUUCCCUGAUAAACUGCUGAUAGACUGGGACCAGAUCAGAUAAGGUUUGGUGUUGAGGACACCUGUCAAUUGUUUUGUCAAGAUAGAAGGUCCAAGACACAGAGGUGGCUGGAGUGCGGAGACCAAAUGGCCCGAGGUGGACAGGAGGCUGUGGGAAUACCAGUUUGGGGCUUUGUCUGUUCACGCAGCUCUUGGGAGACAGAGGUGAGACCCAAGAGAGAACUUCUGUGGUUCAGAGAAGGCACCUCACCUGUAGGGGGUUAGCUGUUUGUCUAGGGUGGUCCCACGAAUCACCCAGCCACAUCAAACUCACAGAGCAGUGACGUGGUCAUUUUUUACCUCACAAUAGCACGGAUAUAAUGCAACAGAAAAAGACUUGCAAUAAAAUAAUACAUUUUCUAAACGGAAGGUGGGGAUGGUGUAAGGUAAGUUAAAACACCAUACAGCUCUUUUAGCAGGUUUUUUGUGGUUUUUUGUUUGUUUGUUUUCUAGAAGGAAGGGAACAAGAUUCCCCGGGUACUCAGAGGGCAGGCGAACGAUGAAUUUCAUAUAUUCCCCACCUCUAACGUAAGAUGGAGACAAAGUUUGCCAAGUUUUGUAAUGACUUAUUUGGAGCAGUGAUUGAUGAAAAAAUAUUGUAAAGUAGAAAUACAGUAUCACAGAAGAUUAUAGGACCUAUCACGAGACCAUAUAAUUAUAUAUCCUCAUAUAUCUUAUGUGUGAAACUUUUGUGCCUAUUUUAACAGUGUUUUACAAGCUUACCGUAUUAGAACAGGCCCCUGCUCCCUGCUCUGAAGGCAUACAAAUUCACGGUGGCCUUUUGAACGUCCUCAGUCCCAACUGCACCAUCAGAAUUUGUAAAAGCAGCAAAAGGUCAGAGUUCGGAGGGCAGUUUGUAUCUCGUGCAGGAAACUGGCAGGUGGCCUUUAGUGAGCCAGUGGCUCUGAUUCAUGUGGUCAGAUUCUGAGCUGGCAGACACAAGGACAAGCCCGCGAGAGGUGUGGCAGGACUGGACAUUCUAUGUAGGUCUGUGUGUGACGGUUUUGUGAAUGCAUCUAUUUGAUGUUCUCCAAACCAAUUCUAAAUGAAGCAGGACGCAGCCAAAUUGAAAGGAGCUUGUUCUUGAUACCUUUUAUGGACUGAAUUGUUUUCUCCCAAAAAGGUACGUUGAAGUCCCUCAGUAUGCGAACUUAUUUGGAGGAAUAGGAUCUUAAAGAAGUAAUCGGGUUAAAAUCAUGUCAUUCAAGUGGGCCCUAAUCCAAUAUAAUCGAUGUCCUUAUUAGAAGGCUAAAUUUGAACAGAGACAGAUGUGCAUAGAGAGAAGCCGGUGGGAAGAGACACAGAGAGAAGGCAACCAUCCAUCUGGAACAGAGCUUCCCUUAUAGACCUCAGAAGGAACCAGCUCUGAUACCCUGGUUUUGGGCUUCCAGACUCCAGAACUGUGAUACCAUAAAUUCUCGUUAUUUAAGGCUCACCAGUCUGCCAGGCUUUGCUAUGGCGUCCUGAGGAAGCGAGUGUGAAACUUAAUUCAUCAGUGCCAAAAACAUCUUGGCAGUUAAACUGCUGUUGUAAUACUCGUGUAUUGAUACGUGGUUCAGAAUUUUUCUGCGGUCUUCCUCAGUAUGUAUGUACAGCAAAAGCUUCAGAGAGAAACUCCAGGCCACGCAAACUCAUGAACUAAACUCGGGAGAGGUGGCUGGUGAUGACCUGGAAGGGAAAGAUGAGUGUCUGGCACAGGACGGGACCGACAGAAGGCGGUUGUGUGGUAG